This 555-nucleotide ribosomal RNA is filed under the name uncultured bacterium. RNAcentral's name for it is "bacterial SSU rRNA". It matches the Rfam family "Bacterial small subunit ribosomal RNA", at positions 777 to 1336 of the family's 1533-position model. The record is from RNAcentral.
AAUAGAUACCCGGGUAGUCCACGCCGUAAACGAUGAAUACUAGGUGUAGGAGGGUCCAACCUUCUGUGCCGCCGUUAACACGUUAAGUAUUCCGCCUGGGGAGUACGGUCGCAAGAUUAAAACUCAAAGGAAUUGACGGGGGCCCGCACAAGCAGCGGAGCAUGUGGUUUAAUUCGAAGCAACGCGAAGAACCUUACCUAGACUUGACAUCUCCUGAAUUACCGGUAAUGCGGGAAGCCCUUGGGCAGGAAGACAGGUGGUGCAUGGUUGUCGUCAGCUCGUGUCGUGAGAUGUUGGGUUAAGUCCCGCAACGAGCGCAACCCUUAUUGUUAGUUGCUACCAUUAAGUUGAGCACUCUAGCAAGACUGCCGGGGUUAACUCGGAGGAAGGUGGGGAUGACGUCAAAUCAUCAUGCCCCGUUAUGUCUAGGGCUACACACGUGCUACAAUGGCGAGUACAACGAGAGGCAAAGCCGCGAGGCGGAGCAAAACUAUAAAACCUCGGUCCCAGUUCGGAUUGUAGGCUGAAACUCGCCUACAUGAAGCCGGAGUUGCU